This 305-nucleotide ribosomal RNA is filed under the name uncultured bacterium. Its description in RNAcentral is "bacterial SSU rRNA". It matches the Rfam family "Bacterial small subunit ribosomal RNA", at positions 334 to 637 of the family's 1533-position model. The record is from RNAcentral.
GUGCCCUACGGGGGCAGCAGUGAGGAAUAUUGGUCAAUGGCCGGAAGGCUGAACCAGCCAAGCCGCGUGAAGGACGAAGGUGCCAAGCAUUGUAAACUUCUUUUGUCAAGGGACAAAAUCAGGCUCGAGAGCCUGACCGAGGGUACUUGAAGAAAAAGCAUCGGCUAACUCCGUGCCAGCAGCCGCGGUAAUACGGAGGAUGCGAGCGUUAUCCGGAUUUAUUGGGUUUAAAGGGUGCGUAGGCGGGAUAGCAAGUCAGAUGUGAAAUCCUAUGGCUUAACCAUAGAACUGCAUUUGAAACUGUU